GAUGAACGCUAGCUACAGGCUUAACACAUGCAAGUCGAGGGGAAACGCUGAGAGAGCUUGCUCUCUUAGGCGUCGACCGGCGCACGGGUGAGUAACGCGUAUCCAACCUACCCAUUACAGGGGGAUAACCUUGCGAAAGUAAGACUAAUACCCCAUGGCAUUUUAUGGUGGCAUCAUUAUAGGAUUAAAGAUUUAUUGGUAAUGGAUGGGGAUGCGUCUGAUUAGCUUGUUGGCGGGGUAACGGCCCACCAAGGCAACGAUCAGUAGGGGUUCUGAGAGGAAGGUCCCCCACAUUGGAACUGAGACACGGUCCAAACUCCUACGGGAGGCAGCAGUGAGGAAUAUUGGUCAAUGGGCGAGAGCUUGAACCAGCCAAGUAGCGUGCAGGAUGACGGCCCUAUGGGUUGUAAACUGCUUUUAUAGGGGAAUAAAGUGAGCUACGUGUAGUUUAUUGCAUGUACCCUAUGGAUAAGGACCGGCUAAUUCCGUG
RNAcentral lists this ribosomal RNA (490 nucleotides) under uncultured bacterium. RNAcentral describes it as "partial 16S ribosomal RNA". It matches the Rfam family "Bacterial small subunit ribosomal RNA", at positions 28 to 507 of the family's 1533-position model. The record is from RNAcentral.